Molecule: transfer RNA, 60 nt
Filed under: Diaphorina citri (Asian citrus psyllid)
Lineage: Eukaryota; Metazoa; Arthropoda; Insecta; Hemiptera; Psyllidae
Description: tRNA-His
Source: RNAcentral
AAUUGAAAUAAUUAUAAUCUUUGAACCCACAAAUCAAUAUUUUACUUAAACUAUUUCAAU